Molecule: ribosomal RNA, 429 nt
Filed under: Pseudomonadota bacterium
Lineage: Bacteria; Pseudomonadati; Pseudomonadota
Description: Proteobacteria bacterium partial 16S ribosomal RNA
Rfam family: Bacterial small subunit ribosomal RNA
Source: RNAcentral
UGGGGAAUAUUGGACAAUGGGCGAAAGCCUGAUCCAGCCAUGCCGCGUGUGUGAAGAAGGUCUUCGGAUUGUAAAGCACUUUAAGUUGGGAGGAAGGGCAGUAAGCGAAUACCUUGCUGUUUUGACGUUACCGACAGAAUAAGCACCGGCUAACUCUGUGCCAGCAGCCGCGGUAAUACAGAGGGUGCAAGCGUUAAUCGGAAUUACUGGGCGUAAAGCGCGCGUAGGUGGUUCGUUAAGUUGAAUGUGAAAGCCCCGGGCUCAACCUGGGAACUGCAUCCAAAACUGGCGAGCUAGAGUAGGGCAGGGGGUGGUGGAAUUUCCUGUGUAGCGGUGAAAUGCGUAGAUAUAGGAAGGAACACCAGUGGCGAAGGCGACCACCUGGGCUCAUACUGACACUGAGGUGCGAAAGCGUGGGGAGCAAACAGG